UGAAGAAAUUUUAAAACCUAUAUGAAUUUCAAAUUAAAUUAAUGGCUGGAGCAAGAAGAAGACAUUAUUUUUGUCUUAUCGCCAAGCACCGUUUUACAAUAUAUAUUUUUCAGAAAAUUUUUUCCAAGAGUAUAAAGAGUAAACUAAGAACGAAUAAGAAGAAUAAAAUAGAUGUUUACAAAAUUUUUAUAUUAAAAUAAGAUCGUCUUACCAGGUAAUACCGUGAAAAUAAAUUGGAUAAAACAAAAAAAUAAUAAUAAUAAAAUAAAAAUAAAAAGAAAUAAAUAAAAGGAACUAAAUAGUUGAUGUAGUGACCUAGAUGAUUUUAUUUUAUUGAUCUAUUUUGAAAGAAACAAGAUAAAUCAAAAUCUGCGUGUAAUAAACACGAAUAAAAACUUUGAUUAAAUUUUAAACUUAUUAAGUAAAAAAUUUCACAACAACGACACGCAAUUCUGAAUUGAGUAAGAACUCAGUUUUGAGUGAGAUUUUGUUGUUUUCGGAAAUUCUUGUAAAAUACCUGUAACAUAUUUCUUUAAAAAGAGUUUUAAAUUUUUUUGGAGGCAAUCCUUAUUUUAAUUUAUACAAUAAGUGUAAAACUACAUGAAUGUUAAGUUUGAGAAUAUUUAUAGCACUAACUCUUUUUAAUGGUGUCUAUCGUUAACAAUGAUUAUGUGGUAGUUUAAAUACUGAAACUCGCGGCUUCUUACAGUUCAAUUAAAGCCAAGAAAGUUUUAGAAUAAAAACAUAAUUUUUAUAUUAUUGUCAUUUUUUAUCUUCAGCAAUGUAAAUAGUUCACUAAAACAAUCUUAUAAAAGUUUCUGCUUUUAUGAAUGAUAAUACUGUUAUUAGUAUUAAAUAUUUCGGGAAUUUUUCUAUAACCGUUAGAUCACACUGUAAAUCAAGUCAAAUGUGAUAACGACUCAAAAGUUAUUGCGCCCGAUCGGUUUGUAUCAAUAUGCCCAACUGGUUAAUGUAGUCCAUUUGUAGCAUUUUACUGACAAUCUGUUAAGUAUUCAAUAAUUAUAAAAUUGUAUGUAAAUUGGAUUCCACGAUUCCUUUAUUCAUAUUUGCAUGAAGUAAUAAAUAAGAUCACCCUUAAUUUUAUUCUUUAAAAACAAGUUAAUACGUUAAAAUCAUUGUCUUAAUACCCAGCAAACAUUCUAUGGCGGAAUUUCAGUCGACCUAUAUAGAUAUUUUCAGCGGUUCAAUGUAGUUUUGCUCGUCAGUUACUUAGUAGACCGUUUGUGGCAGCCGCCAUUAACGGUCUUAAAAUCUACUAAAAUAAUGUUAUCACGUAAAAUAAAUUAUUCCAGAGAACCCUGACAGAUUUUUUUUUAAAAGGCACUUACUUCUUUUAAAAAAUUAUCUUUUUAAUUAAAAACAUUUUCGUCUAUUUUUAAGUUUUUUUUUCCAUAAUCCAUAAAUUUUUGAAGAAGUGGAAGCAAGUAGUUUUUGGUAAUGAAAGUAACUUUGAAGUAAUAAAUAAAAAAGUAAAGUUCUUGUUAAACGAUUUAAAUCGAAAAAGUAUACUGAUUGCUAAUUUUUACCGAGGUUCAAAAGUUACGGCAAAGUGCUGGUGUUUGGGACUGCUUUAAUUUAAACGGAGUAGAAGUGUGUAACAUUUAUACAGGCCGAAUCAACCAAAAUACAUAUAUAGAGACGCUAGAGAACUGCAAGGUCCAUCAGUGCACAUGCUGAUUGAUCGAAACAAAUGGUGGCAAUUUCAACAAGAUUUGGCGCCUACCCACACAGAAAAAAAAUUAAGUAAAUUUAUUGGCCUGGCGAGCUCAAUCAUUAGAUUUGAAUCCAAUCUAAUCUAUUUGGGCUUAGAUCGAAAAAGAAUUAGUCAAGGUGCAAAUACAAUCCAUAAAUAGCCUAAAGUAAGAGUUAGAUACCACUUGGAGAAGAGUUCCAAACAAAAUCUGCAAACAUCUUGUAAAAUCAAUGCAAAAAGCAUGUGCUGCUUGCAAAAAAGCUAGAGGGAUAUUUUAAAUACUAGCUUUGAUGUUAUUUUUGUUGAUUUAAUUUUUUAUAUAACUUUUCUUGAUAUUUUUUGUUAUCAUAUUUGAUAACGUUUUUAUGUACAAUUUUAUGUUUGAGUAUGCCAUCCAAGAUGCAAGAUUUGAUUAAAAUUAUUCAA
Molecule: long non-coding RNA, 2140 nt
Organism: Hydra vulgaris (swiftwater hydra)
Lineage: Eukaryota; Metazoa; Cnidaria; Hydrozoa; Anthoathecata; Hydridae
Source: RefSeq, a predicted model, not a curated record